This 253-nucleotide ribosomal RNA is filed under the name uncultured bacterium. RNAcentral describes it as "partial 16S ribosomal RNA". It matches the Rfam family "Archaeal small subunit ribosomal RNA", at positions 474 to 727 of the family's 1478-position model. The record is from RNAcentral.
UACCAGCACCCCGAGUGGUCGGGACGAUUAUUGGGCCUAAAGCAUCCGUAGCCGGUUUUACAAGUCCUCCGUUAAAUCCAACUGCUUAACAGAUGGGCCGCGGAGGAUACUACAAGACUAGGAGGCAGGAGAGGCAAGCGGUACUCAGUGGGUAGGGGUAAAAUCCGUUGAUCCAUUGAAGACCACCAGUGGCGAAGGCGGCUUGCCAGAACGCACUCGACGGUGAGGGAUGAAAGCUGGGGGAGCAAACCGG